UCCGCAGUAGCUCAGUGGUAGAGCAUUCGGCUGUUAACCGAAUGGUCGUAGGUUCGAGUCCUACCUGCGGAGCCA
RNAcentral lists this transfer RNA (75 nucleotides) under Peribacillus simplex. RNAcentral's name for it is "Bacillus simplex tRNA-Asn". It matches the Rfam family "tRNA". Rfam says of the family: Transfer RNA (tRNA) molecules are approximately 80 nucleotides in length. Their secondary structure includes four short double-helical elements and three loops (D, anti-codon, and T loops). Further hydrogen bonds mediate the characteristic L-shaped molecular structure. tRNAs have two regions of fundamental functional importance: the anti-codon, which is responsible for specific mRNA codon recognition, and the 3' end, to which the tRNAs corresponding amino acid is attached (by aminoacyl-tRNA synthetases). tRNAs cope with the degeneracy of the genetic code in two manners: having more than one tRNA (with a specific anti-codon) for a particular amino acid; and 'wobble' base-pairing, i.e. permitting non-standard base-pairing at the 3rd anti-codon position. Lineage: Bacteria; Bacillati; Bacillota; Bacilli; Caryophanales; Bacillaceae. The record is from RNAcentral. RNAcentral also lists the same sequence under 4 other names.